Long non-coding RNA from Dipodomys spectabilis (banner-tailed kangaroo rat), 446 nucleotides. RefSeq lists it as uncharacterized. NCBI's taxonomy places the organism in Eukaryota, Metazoa, Chordata, Mammalia, Rodentia, Heteromyidae. The transcript has 4 exons. The record is from RefSeq and is a predicted model, not a curated record.
UAGGGAAGGGAAGUAGGAGGGCGGGGAUGAUUGUCUGGAAGAGUCAUUUUGGAGUUGAGCAAAGUAAAAACAAUGUGAUUGGAGAGUCCUGUGGGGUUGCCAGGCACUGUGGAGUCUGUUCAAUACAGCUGCCUUGUCUGUGACAAGUGGGACCACAGAGGUGACCGCCACACUGCUAGUUUCUGAAAGGAGGAACAGAAAAGAGGUUGGACUCUUGCAAAGUCCAGGAUGGUAUUCUCUUGCUGGAAUGGAAUCUCCCUGGUAUCUGGCAAUAGGAAGCACUAGAACAUUGCUGUGUACCCAGGCUGAUCUGAGACAUAUGGUCUUCCUGUGUCAGCUUCUUGAGGGCUAGGAUUACAGCCAUGCUCCACAAUGUCCAUACCUAUAAAAGUCUAAAUGCUCAAUCACAUAUUUACUACGUGACAAAAGGCUAUUUUUAGAAAACA